GGGUAAUGGAAUAGUUCUGUAUCUUGACUAUGGUGGUGGCUACAGGAAUCUACGUAUGAGAUGAAAUGUGCAUGACACUAUACACAUACAUUGCACAAAUAUCAAUUUCCUGGUUUUGACAUUACAUUAUAGUUAUGUAACAUGUAACCAUUAGGCAAACUAGAAGAGUACACAGGACCUGUCUGUACUGUAUUUACAGCUUCCUAUGGAUUUGAAGUCAUUAAUUGUUCCAAAUUUUAAAGUUUAGUUAAAAAUCACACAUGAACGUUUUUUAAUAAAAAUAACACCUAUCAUGGGACUAAUGUGUACCAGUUAAACACAACACUCAGAUCAUUCUGCUGCUUCUAAGUAUAAAAAGAGAGCAAGGGUACCACCAAAAGAGAGUGCCAUCAUUUGAAAGGCUAUGUGGUGGUGGUGACAGCUGUUACGGUAGAAGGCAGGAGAGUCGGCACACCCAGAUUGGACAUCACAGCUACAGACAGCAUAUCCUGUAAACACAGGAAGAAACAUGGGGGAUCAGCUGCGUGAGACUCAACUCCUUCUCUCCUGGGCAGACAGACCUGUCCCUAGACAGUAACCACCACCAGCACUGCUUCCAGGAGGGAGCUCCGAGGGGCCACACAUCGCUCCUGUUGGAGCACUGCAUUCCAAUAAAUAGAAGCUUGGUUGAGCAACCUGGGCAUAAAGAAUGCACAAUUCAAUUGGUCCCACUUAUGUCAGGGAAGACAGAGUAAAAAUGAUCUCUGCUGCUGGGACAGUUAGGAUUCUGUAAAUUGUGCCUCGGCGCUAGGUUUUAUUCUAGGUCCAGGUACCCUAAAAAGGACAGAGAGGUACAAAGCUUACUUACAAAGCUCACAGAACUAUUAGUGUUCUUUCUUAAGGCUCUGGAUGCAAACCAGUUUCGUCUCAGAAAAGCAAAACGAAAAUACUUUGCAGAUGUGAGUAGUUUCCCUCUAUCCUUCUUGGCGGUCCGCUUCCUAUUCCUGGGUUCAAUGUCAUGCCCUCAGAGGUCAUUCCUCUCUCCAGGCAACUCAUCUGGGACUUACAGGAAACAUCCAAUCAAUUCUAGUAAAACGAUAAGGUAUCCUUUGACCUCAGUUAAGAAAUAAAACUUACGGGUGAUUUUUUUCCCUUAAAUUUUUUUUCCAGUUAGAAAAUAAUGGAAUACUCAUUAUUUACAAAACCUGAUAUAUACAGACAAGCAAAAAAAAAUGUUUUGGUCGGCCGGGCGCAGUGGCUCACGCCUGUAAUCCCAGCACUUUGGGAGGUCGAGGCGGGCGGAUCACGAGGUCAGAAGAUCGAGACCAUCCUGGCUAACACGGUGAAACCCCGUCUCUACUAAAAAUACAAAAAGUUAGCCGGGCAUGGUGGCAGGCGCCUAGACAGGAUCUAGCUAUAUUUCCCAGGCUGGUCUCGAACUCCUGGCCUCAAGCAAUCCUCCCAUGGUUUGCCACCCAAAGUGCUGGGAUUACAGCCAUGAGACAAUGCACUCAGCUCAGAACUUUUUUCUCAAAGGCAUAUCAUAGUUUUAGCUUUGCUGUAGCCAUUUCAUCCAUAAUCACUUGCUGUGGCUGGGUAAAGUGAUACACACAUACACACACGCCCACACUGGUUUAGAGAAAUACAAAACGCAAUGCCUAGACGUGAAAUGUAUUUAUUCAGAUUUGUUAGAUGGCGCAAUCAAAUAAAUAUUUGUGUUAUGCUCUAAGCUUUUAAGAAGUCUUUUGUAUCUAAAAUAUAAGACACAUAUGUAAAUGACAUCCAGCUGAGCUGGACUGGCCAAUGUACUGAAAAAGGGCUACCACAUGUAGCUACAAGGUCUCACCCUGUUGGCCAGGCUGGUCUCCAACUCCUGGGCUCACGUGAUCUGCCCACUGUGGCCUUCCAAAG
RNAcentral lists this long non-coding RNA (1890 nucleotides) under Homo sapiens (human). RNAcentral's name for it is "HSALNT0123895". Lineage: Eukaryota; Metazoa; Chordata; Mammalia; Primates; Hominidae. The record is from RNAcentral.